RNAcentral lists this long non-coding RNA (1388 nucleotides) under Dasypus novemcinctus (nine-banded armadillo). RNAcentral describes it as "lncRNA (ENSDNOG00000051661.1)". The record is from RNAcentral. Lineage: Eukaryota; Metazoa; Chordata; Mammalia; Cingulata; Dasypodidae.
AUUGCGCUCCGCCCGCCGAGGGGAGCGGCCUGCUAGCGGAAGUCCCGCGCCGCUGUCCCGAGGCGUCGCACUCGCCUUCCUCCGCGGCCCGGGGAGGGGCCGGGCAGGGCAGGGUUCGCGCGAGGGGCGGCCGCGUAGGCUCCAGCACGGAACUACAGCCCCCAGAGUGCACUGCGCCGCAGGGGGCGCGAUGCGGUGACGCACGGGGUUGUGGACGCUACCAUUUCUUUGUUGGUGGGGGAGGCCGUGGCGCGGGCUGAUGACGCGCUCUAAUGACGCGCUCUUCGCGCGCGGGAGGGUCCUCGGAGGUCAGCCCGGGUAGCCGGGCUCGGGUUCUCCACGCGUUUUCGCGAACCUUCGCGUCUGCUUGCCCCCGGCGGUCGUGCCAGCCUUGACCUUCGGCCCGGCCGGAGGCGGGCGUCGCUGUUCCUUUCACUUGAAACGAUUAACCUGAACCCCGAGCCCGCGCCGCACAGCGCCCGUGCGCCUCUGAGCAGGCCCCCCCUGGCGUUUUGCUCCCGGCCUUCUUGCUCGCUCUCUUCUCUGUACACUUUGACCCCGUGUCCUUUGAGAGGUCCUUGACCCCUAAAUGCGUCAGUGUGUAUUUUUGAAGAACGUAAGAAGCAAACCAGAAGUCCCAUCUGUGGAAGUCAGGAGUUGCCGUGGGUCGGGACCCUUGCCGAAACUUCGGUGGGGCCUUGCGGUUUCCUCGUCGUUAGACCGUGCCACUGGCGGGAAGGCCAGAGGCGUCACCUCCCGGCGCCAUGGUCCACGCCUUCCUCGUCCACACCCUGCGGGCCCCGCACGCUGAGGACACGGGCUUCUGCCGCGUGCUCUACUCCUGCGUCUUUGGUGCUGAGAAGUCGCCGGAAGACCCGCGGCCACAUGGAGCCGAGAGGGACAGGCUCCUCCGCAAGGAGCAGAUCUUGGCGGUGGCCAGGUAACCGUCCAGCCCAGCCCCGGGCCAUGGUAGGCUUCCCGAGGGGUCCUGGAGGCAGUUCGUAAACAUUAUCUGAGAAAGGUUGAGGAAAUAGGGCCCCUAGAGUUAGCUUGUGUUGAGCCAAGUGUGUGCUGAGCCCUAUUCAGAGCGUUUUCUCAGUGUCAGUUAAUCCUCUAAUAGGCCUUUGGGGUAGGUACGGUUACAUCCACCCCACCUUACAGGCGAGUUAGAAGAGGCACAGAGUUGAGGAGCUUAACCUGCCCAAAGUUACGCAGCUAGGACGUGGCGGAGCUGGGCUUUGAAAGUCACGCAGCUAGGACGUGGCGGAGCUGGGCUUUGAAAGUCACGCAGCUAGGACGUGGCGGAGCUGGGCUUUGAAAGUCACGCAGCUAGGACGUGGCGGAGCUGGGCUUUGAAAGUCACGCAGCUAGGACGUGGCAGAGCUGGG